Molecule: ribosomal RNA, 826 nt
Filed under: uncultured cyanobacterium
Lineage: Bacteria; Bacillati; Cyanobacteriota
Description: bacterial SSU rRNA
Rfam family: Bacterial small subunit ribosomal RNA
Source: RNAcentral
ACGAACCUUCGGGUUAGUGGCGGACGGGUGAGUAACGCGUGGGAAUCUGCCCUCAGGAGGGGGAUAACGGCCGGAAACGGCCGCUAAUACCCCAUAUGCCGAGAGGUGAAAUGAAUUUCGCCUGAGGAUGAGCCCGCGUCUGAUUAGCUAGUUGGUGAGGUAAGAGCUCACCAAGGCAUCGAUCAGUAGCUGGUCUGAGAGGAUGAUCAGCCACACUGGGACUGAGACACGGCCCAGACCCCUACGGGAGGCAGCAGUGGGGAAUUUUCCGCAAUGGGCGAAAGCCUGACGGAGCAACGCCGCGUGAGGGAUGAAGGCCUCUGGGCUGUAAACCUCUUUUAUCAAGGAAGAAGAUCUGACGGUACUUGAUGAAUAAGCCACGGCUAAUUCCGUGCCAGCAGCCGCGGUAAUACGGGAGUGGCAAGCGUUAUCCGGAAUUAUUGGGCGUAAAGCGUCCGCAGGCGGCCCAACAAGUCUGCUGUUAAAAAGUGGAGCUUAACUCCAUCAUGGCAGUGGAAACUGUUGGGCUAGAGUGUGGUAGGGGCAGAGGGAAUUCCCGGUGUAGCGGUGAAAUGCGUAGAUAUCGGGAAGAACACCAGUGGCGAAGGCGCUCUGCUGGGCCAUCACUGACGCUCAUGGACGAAAGCCAGGGGAGCGAAAGGGAUUAGAUACCCCUGUAGUCCUGGCCGUAAACGAUGAACACUAGGUGUCGGGGGAAUCGACCCCUCCGGUGUCGUAGCCAACGCGUUAAGUGUUCCGCCUGGGGAGUACGCACGCAAGUGUGAAACUCAAAGGAAUUGACGGGGGCCCGCACAAGCGGUGGAGU